Molecule: long non-coding RNA, 150 nt
Organism: Thalassophryne amazonica
Lineage: Eukaryota; Metazoa; Chordata; Actinopteri; Batrachoidiformes; Batrachoididae
Exons: 3
Source: RefSeq, a predicted model, not a curated record
CUUGUGUUGGAGGUGUGAGGGGUCUGCAGAGAUGUUACCAGCUCGCUUUCUGGUCCUGGACUGGUAUAAUUACUGGAUGGAGAGCAGGCUGGCUCAGAUGAUUUUUUUUUUCUGUAGACCUGACAGUUGGUUGAAGUCUGUGCCUGUCAU